AUUGAACGCUGGCGGCAUGCUUUACACAUGCAAGUCGAACGGUAACAGGCCUUCGGGUGCUGACGAGUGGCGAACGGGUGAGUAAUGCAUCGGAACGUACCCAGAGGUGGGGGAAAACGCAGCGAAAGCUGUGCUAAUACCGCAUGUGAUCUGAGGAUGAAAGCGGGGGACCGAGCAGCAAUGUUUGGCCUCGCGCCUUUGGAGCGGCCGAUGUCGGAUUAGCUAGUUGGUGGGGUAAAGGCCUACCAAGGCGACGAUCCGUAGCUGGUCUGAGAGGACGACCAGCCAAACUGGGACUGAGACACGGCCCAGACUCCUACGGGAGGCAGCAGUGGGGAAUUUUGGACAAUGGGCGCAAGCCUGAUCCAGCAAUGCCGCGGGCGGGAAGAAGGCCUUCGGGUUGUAAACCGCUUUUGGCAGGAACGAAACGGUGUCCGCUAAUACCGGGCGCGAAUGACGGUACCUGCAGAAUAAGCACCGGCUAACUACGUG
RNAcentral lists this ribosomal RNA (492 nucleotides) under uncultured bacterium. Its description in RNAcentral is "partial 16S ribosomal RNA". It matches the Rfam family "Bacterial small subunit ribosomal RNA", at positions 29 to 507 of the family's 1533-position model. The record is from RNAcentral.